Long non-coding RNA from Mytilus californianus (California mussel), 2406 nucleotides. RefSeq lists it as uncharacterized. NCBI's taxonomy places the organism in Eukaryota, Metazoa, Mollusca, Bivalvia, Mytilida, Mytilidae. The transcript is spliced from 3 exons. The record is from RefSeq and is a predicted model, not a curated record.
UGUUAAAAGGCUAAACCGAGCAUUUCAAAAGACUAUGCACAAUAUCGAUUUAAUGACCUAAAUACUGGUUUUCAGAAAACAUAUACUAUCAUACAGUUAUGUAAACUAAAUUAUAACCGGAUAAUAAAACACGUAAUCUAUCAGGAAGUCACGACUGAUGAAGAUUGUACAGCAGAAUAAAAAUGAUUGAUCAUUUGGGAUUAUCUCUUGUCCUUGAAAUAUAUUUAAACAAGUGCAGAGAUAUUUUUGCCAGAGCUUUUGUUCUUUUGCAUGAAUGUUCAGAAAGACGAUAUAUAUAUAUAUAUAUAUAUAUAUAUAUAUGAAAAAAGAAAAAUUUGAGAUAUUCAGCGAAAAUUCUAUGUAAAUCAGAACUACGGAGUAUGUGCUCAUGAUCAAGGGUGGAUGCACGUCCUUGAUAAAAGAAAGAUGCUGUCCAUAUGAAUGCAUUGGCUCGAUUUCUAUGUUCCUUUAUACAAAACACUUCACAGAUAGAAACUGGACAUGGAGAAAGUACUAAGGGAGUCAUAAAGGAUCUCGACAUUAAUACAUUGUUUGCGAACGUUGUGCACUUAGUAUACGUUAAUAUUUAUGAUUUUCCCGAUUAUUGUCAAUUUAGGAAGAUUAUAAAGGUUGCAGUAACCUAUCUUCGGAUAGUUGAGAACCCGAACUGAUAUGGUAUAGGAAAUAUAAUAUUUAAAUAACCUUUAUCUUACUGAUAUAUGAACAGGAAGAUACUGGACCAACUAGGGGAUUGAUCGCUUGAUAAUUGGUUGUUUUUCGUCCAGCAGCAACAAAUUUCUGGAAGGGCUUACAAAUAAACGCCUUCUUUUACUGUUUUUUUUUUGUUAACGCACUAACUAGAAAUGUCUUAAUUUACAAAGUAUUCGUGAAAUGAUUUUUGCUAUUUAAUGGUUUUUAAUCAGUGUGAAAACUCAUCAAAGAUACAUGGCGUACAUGUUUUUACUCAAGACGCGCGGUUCGUCUACACAAGACUCUACAGUUGCACCCGAAUGAGAAUAAUUUGAAGGCAAAGUCAAACGCAAAGUUGAAUUGCAUUUAAAACCAAAAAAACAACGAAAAAGAGUUUCUAAAUACGACAAAGGCACUCGGGGGAUUGAAAACCUUAGUACAUUUCUGUUAUUCGAAUUAUGUUAAACUUUAUAAACAGAUAAUUUACAGAAAAUGAACAUUUCAAUGAUAAGUUGUCAACUCCAAAUUCCUGACUAUUGGGCUGGUGAUAAAACCCAUCAAAGAUAUCAGGCGUACAAUUACUAUUUUGUAGGCACAUCCUUUUCGUGUUUUUAAUUUAUCUAAAUUUGGUUAUGUUAAGGGAUACUAUAUUAAAUAAAAUGAACGAGAUAAUUUAUGUAAAAAAAAUGUGUUGUAGACAUGGCACAGCCAGCGGAUAUGAUGGUUAUUUCAGUCCGUGCAGACUUAUCAAGAACUGAUUAAUAAGGACAACGUUUUGUUUUAAAAGAGUAUGGCAACUGACCUGACAUCACACGAUAUAUGGAACAUUAUGCUUUUCUUAAAUUAGAUAUCAAUAAUUCAAUUAGUUUUUAUUGUAAAAAUAUUUUUAUAGACCGGUUAAAGUACCGGAUCUGGCUCCUUUUAAGAUAAAUCUGAUUUUACCUGAAUUAUGAUAGUGUUAACAAUUUUCCAAUUAAAAACUUGCUACACACUAUGUGUGUUUAGUUUCAAUGUAUUUAAAUGUAACUUAUGUGAUCAAGCCCAUGUAACUUCAUUUUGUCUGGUUCGAAAGAAUAAAAAAAGCAUGAAAUACGAAUGGAUGAUACAAAAACUUACCCAAGGAAAAACAACAAAUAAUUGGCAAGAGAACAGAAAAAAAAAGGAAAUAAAUGAUAGCUCACAAAAAAAUAUACAGAAAAUAUAAAAAAGGGUUAUAGGUUUCAUAAUGGGUAAAAAUGUAAAAUGAACUGAAUAUCAGGUUGUCUGCAUAUUGAUAUUAUAAAAGAUCAGCUGCGAGAUACAAUUUGAUCCUUUAUGUCGAGUGAGCAGCAAAUUUUUACAAUAUCAAUAUGAAGUCAACCAGAUAACCGAAUUAUCGGUUUGUAUUUGUAGAUUUUGCAUGAUAAAAUAAGUGUUUUCUUUGUUUCAUCUGCAAACCGGAAGGUAACUUGAUAAGUUCUGGGCAAACUUACUACUUCUGUGCAUUCCUUAUAGCGUCGGUGAUAUGUUCGGGUCAAAUUAAUCAGGCCGGGUCAACGUACUUCACGCCACAAAGCCGUGAUAGCAAUUUUGUUCAUAGCUGCGUAGAGUGAUGCGGACAUUGGACGAUCGAUCAAGCUUUCUAUCAGCCAGAGUUAUUACAUUUCAUUUCAAUAAUACACGAGCCUUUAGAAGGUUUAUUGUUGUUAUUUAAAGUAAAUAAAGAAAUGUUAUUUA